UGGCGGACGGGUGAGUAAUGUCUGGGAAACUGCCUGAUGGAGGGGGAUAACUACUGGAAACGGUAGCUAAUACCGCAUAACGUCGCAAGACCAAAGAGGGGGACCUUCGGGCCUCUUGCCAUCGGAUGUGCCCAGAUGGGAUUAGCUAGUAGGUGGGGUAACGGCUCACCUAGGCGACGAUCCCUAGCUGGUCUGAGAGGAUGACCAGCCACACUGAAACUGAGACACGGUCCAG
Molecule: ribosomal RNA, 235 nt
Filed under: uncultured bacterium
Lineage: Bacteria
Description: partial 16S ribosomal RNA
Rfam family: Bacterial small subunit ribosomal RNA
Source: RNAcentral